RNAcentral lists this small nucleolar RNA (261 nucleotides) under Orbilia oligospora ATCC 24927. RNAcentral describes it as "Arthrobotrys oligospora ATCC 24927 Fungal small nucleolar RNA U3". It matches the Rfam family "Fungal small nucleolar RNA U3". From Rfam's summary of the family: Small nucleolar RNAs (snoRNAs) are involved in the processing and modification of rRNA in the nucleolus. There are two main classes of snoRNAs: the box C/D class, and the box H/ACA class. Lineage: Eukaryota; Fungi; Ascomycota; Orbiliomycetes; Orbiliales; Orbiliaceae. The record is from Rfam by way of RNAcentral.
AACCUCACAGAUAGGAUCUUUUCUAUAGUGUACAACCUCUUUUGAAUUCUUUAAAAGAGCCACUUUUCCAAUCCUGGCUGAUGACUGGAUGGUCUAUCCUUAUUACCUCGCUGCCACAGAGUGAAGCCGAUUUUUGUUACCCGUUCUUUUUAUCGAGGAUGAGGUGGUGAUGAUCUCGACCCACUUGCUUGACCCUGUUCUUUUCCUUCGGGGAACCAGAUGAUCGCAUUUUGGGUUGGCAGUGAUGGUGGUCUGACAGGU